Molecule: long non-coding RNA, 884 nt
Organism: Oncorhynchus keta (chum salmon)
Lineage: Eukaryota; Metazoa; Chordata; Actinopteri; Salmoniformes; Salmonidae
Exons: 3
Source: RefSeq, a predicted model, not a curated record
UCUUUCUCUGUGUCCCUCCAGUACCAGGACCCAGUGGCUCAGUAGGAGGUGGAGACCUGACUGUCCCCGUGGUUCUGAUGGGCUGGAUGGUUCUGGUUCUGCUCCUCUUCCUCCUCAGACCCAACAGCCUCAGAGGAUCCCCAUCACCGCCUGCUGGCAAACCUACUGGACCUCACAGUAGUCGUGACCAGGAUCCCCCAGCUCCACCAGUGGACUAGCAGCAGAACCAGACGGAACCGGAGAGAACCAGACGUUCUACUGGACAACCCAACAUCUCCACCGGACGUUCUACUGGACAACCCAACAUCUCCACCGGACGUUCUACUGGACAACCCAACAUCUCCUCCAGACGUUCUACUGGACAACCCAACAUCUCCACCGGACGUUCUACUGGACAACCCAACAUCUCCACCGGACGUUCUACUGGACAACCCAACAUCUCCACCGGACGUUCUACUGGACAACCCAACAUCUCCACCGGACGUUCUGCCCGUUCUACGUUGGUACCCCGGAACCCAAUAGCUUGGCUGCGACCUCCGACCCCUGUACAUCACAAUGCAUUUCCUGUUUAGUGCACUACUUUAGACCAGAGCCCUAUGAGGUAGUGCACUACUUUAGACCAGAGCCCUAUGGGGGUAGUGCACUACUUUAGACCAGAGCCCUAUGGGGGUAGUGCACUACUUUAGACCAGAGCCCUAUGGGGUAGUGCACUACUUUAGACCAGAGCCCUAUGGGGUAGUGCACUACUUUAGACCAGAGCCCUAUGGGGUAGUGCACUACUUUAGACCAGAGCCCUAUGGGGUAGUGCACUACUUUAGACCAGAGCCCUAUGGGGUAGUGCACUACUUUAGACCAGAGCCCUAUGGGGUAGUGCACUACUUUAG